Molecule: ribosomal RNA, 377 nt
Filed under: uncultured bacterium
Lineage: Bacteria
Description: bacterial SSU rRNA
Rfam family: Bacterial small subunit ribosomal RNA
Source: RNAcentral
UAAUACGGAGGGGGCCAGCGUUGUUCGGAAUCAUUGGGCGUAAAGGGCGCGUAGGCGGCCGACCAAGUCGGAGGUGAAAUCCCUCGGCUCAACUGAGGAACUGCCUCCGAUACUGUUCGGCUUGAGUCCCGGAGAGGGUAGUGGAAUUCCGAGUGUAGCGGUGAAAUGCGUAGAGACUCGGAAGAACACCAGUGGCGAAGGCGGCUACCUGGACGGGUACUGACGCUGAAGCGCGAAAGCUAGGGGAGCAAACAGGAUUAGAUACCCUGGUAGUCCUAGCUGUAAACGAUGGGCACUUGGUGUUGCGGGUAUCGACCCCUGCAGUGCCGAAGCUAACGCAUUAAGUGCCCCGCCUGGGGAGUACGGUCGCAAGGCUG